Molecule: ribosomal RNA, 231 nt
Filed under: uncultured bacterium
Lineage: Bacteria
Description: partial 16S ribosomal RNA
Rfam family: Bacterial small subunit ribosomal RNA
Source: RNAcentral
CGGGGUGAGUAACGCGUGGGUAACCUGCUUAUACAGGGGGAUAACAGUUGGAAACGGCUGCUAAUACCGCAUAAGCGCACGGCAUCGCAUGAUGCAGUGUGAAAAACUCCGGUGGUAUAAGAUGGACCCGCGUUGGAUUAGCUAGUUGGUGAGGUAACGGCCCACCAAGGCGACGAUCCAUAGCCGACCUGAGAGGGUGACCGGCCACAUUGGGACUGAGACACGGCCCAA